RNAcentral lists this non-coding RNA (32 nucleotides) under Geobacter sulfurreducens KN400. Lineage: Bacteria; Pseudomonadati; Thermodesulfobacteriota; Desulfuromonadia; Geobacterales; Geobacteraceae. The record is from RNAcentral.
GGGGGCGACGAUGACGCGUGAAGACCUGCUCG